GUCGAACGGUCUCUUCGGAGAUAGUGGCGGACGGGUGAGUAACGCGUGAGAAACUGCCUUCAGAUUGGGGACAACAGUUGGAAACGACUGCUAAUACCGAAUGUGCCUUAGGGUAAAAGAUUUAUCGUCUGAAGAUGUGCUCGCGUCUGAUUAGCUAGUUGGUGAGGUAAAAGCUUACCAAGGCAACGAUCAGUAGCUGUUCUGAGAGGAAGACCAGCCACACUGGGACUGAGACACGGCCCAGACUCCUACGGGAGGCAGCAGUGGGGAAUUUUCCGCAAUGGGCGAAAGCCUGACGGAGCAAUACCGCGUGUGGGAGGAAGGCCCUUGGGUCGUAAACCACUUUUCUUAGGGAAGAAGCCCUGACGGUACCUAAGGAAUAAGCCUCGGCUAACUCCGUGCCAGCAGCCGCGGUAAUACGGAGGAGGCAAGCGUUAUCCGGAAUUAUUGGGCGUAAAGAGUCCGUAGGUGGUUACUCAAGUCUGCUGUUAAAGACAGAAGCUCAACUUCUGGUGGGCAGUGGAAACUGAGCAACUAGAGUAUGGUAGGGGUAGAGGGAAUUCCCAGUGUAGCGGUGAAAUGCGUAGAGAUUGGGAAGAACACCGGUGGCGAAAGCGCUCUACUGGGCCAAAACUGACACUGAGGGACGAAAGCUAGGGUAGCGAAAGGGAUUAGAUACCCCUGUAGUCCUAGCCGUAAACGAUGGGUACUAGGCGUAGCUUGUAUCGACCCGAGCUGUGCCGAAGCAAACGCGUUAAGUACCCCGCCUGGGGAGUACGCACGCAAGUGUGAAACUC
This 797-nucleotide ribosomal RNA is filed under the name uncultured Spirulina sp. RNAcentral's name for it is "bacterial SSU rRNA". It matches the Rfam family "Bacterial small subunit ribosomal RNA", at positions 61 to 902 of the family's 1533-position model. Lineage: Bacteria; Bacillati; Cyanobacteriota; Cyanophyceae; Spirulinales; Spirulinaceae. The record is from RNAcentral.